RNAcentral lists this ribosomal RNA (467 nucleotides) under uncultured bacterium. RNAcentral describes it as "partial 16S ribosomal RNA". It matches the Rfam family "Bacterial small subunit ribosomal RNA", at positions 355 to 830 of the family's 1533-position model. The record is from RNAcentral.
UGGGGAAUAUUGCACAAUGGGCGCAAGCCUGAUGCAGCAACGCCGCGUGAGGGACGACGGCCUUCGGGUUGUAAACCUCUUUUAGUAGGGAAGAAGCGAAAGUGACGGUACCUGGCAGAAAAAACGCACCGGCUAACUACGUGCCAGCAGCCGCGGUAAUACGUAGGGUGCGAGCGUUGUCCGGAAUUAUUGGGCGUAAAGAGCUCGUAGGCGGNCUGUCGCGUCUGCUGUGAAAACCCCGAGGCUCAACCUCGGGCCUGCAGUGGGUACGGGCAGACUAGAGUGCGGUAGGGGAGAAUGGAAUUCCUGGUGUAGCGGUGGAAUGCGCAGAUAUCAGGAGGAACACCGAUGGCGAAGGCAGUUCUCUGGGCCGUAACUGACGCUGAGGAGCGAAAGCGUGGGGAGCGAACAGGAUUAGAUACCCUGGUAGUCCACGCCGUAAACGGUGGGUACUAGGUGUGGGUUCC